GACGUAGGGCGCAAGCGUUGUCCGGAUUUAUUGGGCGUAAAGAGCGUGUAGGCGGCCAGGUAGGUCUGGUGUGAAAACUCGAGGCUUAACCUCGAGAUGUCAUCGGAAACCAUCUGGCUAGAGUCCGGAAGAGGAGAGUGGAAUUCCUGGUGUAGCGGUGAAAUGCGCAGAUAUCAGGAAGAACACCAAUGGCGAAAGCAGCUCUCUGGGACGGUACUGACGCUGAGACGCGAAAGCGUGGGGAGCGAACAGG
RNAcentral lists this ribosomal RNA (253 nucleotides) under uncultured bacterium. RNAcentral describes it as "partial 16S ribosomal RNA". It matches the Rfam family "Bacterial small subunit ribosomal RNA", at positions 524 to 776 of the family's 1533-position model. The record is from RNAcentral.